UGCGCUUCUAUGCGGCCGAGAUCAUCCUGGGCCUGGAGCACAUGCACAACCGCUUCGUGGUCUACCGGGACCUGAAGGGGCACCCACGGGUACAUGGCUCCAGAGGUCCUGCAGAAGGGCGUGGCCUACGACAGCAGUGCCGACUGGUUCUCUCUGGGAUGCAUGCUCUUCAAGUUGCUGCGGGGGCACAGCCCCUUCCGGCAGCACAAGACCAAAGACAAGCAUGAGAUCGACCGCAUGACGCUGACGAUGGCCGUGGAGCUGCCCGACUCCUUCUCCCCUGAAUUACGCUCCCUGCUGGAGGGGUUGCUGCAGAGGGAUGUCAACCGGAGACUGGGCUGCCUGGGCCGAGGGGCUCAGGAGGUGAAAGAGAGCCCCUUUUUCCGCUCCUUGGACUGGCAGAUGGUCUUCUUGCAGAAGGUAACAGUCUGCGGCAGGGACUCGGGGUACUCUGCAGCCCCACCCCCGAGCUAAUGCCCAUGAUCCUUGUUCUGCUGCAGUACCCUCCCCCGCUGAUCCCCCCACGAGGGGAGGUGAACGCAGCCGACGCCUUCGACAUUGGCUCCUUCGAUGAGGAGGACACAAAAGGAAUCAAGUUACUGGACAGUGAUCAGGAGCUCUACCGCAACUUCCCCCUCACCAUCUCGGAGCGGUGGCAGCAGGAGGUGGCAGAGACUGUCUUCGACACCAUCAAUGCUGAGACAGACCGGCUGGAGGCUCGCAAGAAAGCCAAGAACAAGCAGCUGGGCCAUGAGGAAGACUACGCCCUGGGCAAGGACUGCAUCAUGCACGGCUACAUGUCCAAGAUGGGCAACCCCUUCCUGACCCAGUGGCAGCGGCGGUACUUCUACCUGUUCCCCAACCGCCUCGAGUGGCGGGGCGAGGGCGAGGCCCCGGUAAGGAGCCCGUGCGGGGGUCCGGGAGCCGGGCUUCCGGGUAGCUGGCCGGCCCGGCUCUUACCUGCACCACCCAUCCCUGGCCCUGCAGCAGAGCCUGCUGACCAUGGAGGAGAUCCAGUCGGUGGAGGAGACGCAGAUCAAGGAGCGCAAG
RNAcentral lists this small RNA (1050 nucleotides) under Pongo abelii (Sumatran orangutan). RNAcentral describes it as "processed transcript". Lineage: Eukaryota; Metazoa; Chordata; Mammalia; Primates; Hominidae. The record is from RNAcentral.